RNAcentral lists this ribosomal RNA (1900 nucleotides) under Salmonella enterica. Its description in RNAcentral is "partial 23S ribosomal RNA". It matches the Rfam family "Bacterial large subunit ribosomal RNA", at positions 807 to 2687 of the family's 2925-position model. Lineage: Bacteria; Pseudomonadati; Pseudomonadota; Gammaproteobacteria; Enterobacterales; Enterobacteriaceae. The record is from RNAcentral.
ACCUGUGGCUGGGGGUGAAAGGCCAAUCAAACCGGGAGAUAGCUGGUUCUCCCCGAAAGCUAUUUAGGUAGCGCCUCGUGAAUUCAUCUCCGGGGGUAGAGCACUGUUUCGGCUAGGGGGCCAUCCCGGCUUACCAACCCGAUGCAAACUGCGAAUACCGGAGAAUGUUAUCACGGGAGACACACGGCGGGUGCUAACGUCCGUCGUGAAGAGGGAAACAACCCAGACCGCCAGCUAAGGUCCCAAAGUCAUGGUUAAGUGGGAAACGAUGUGGGAAGGCCCAGACAGCCAGGAUGUUGGCUUAGAAGCAGCCAUCAUUUAAAGAAAGCGUAAUAGCUCACUGGUCGAGUCGGCCUGCGCGGAAGAUGUAACGGGGCUAAACCAUGCACCGAAGCUGCGGCAGCGACGCUGAUGCGUUGUUGGGUAGGGGAGCGUUCUGUAAGCCUGUGAAGGUGGCCUGUGAGGGUGGCUGGAGGUAUCAGAAGUGCGAAUGCUGACAUAAGUAACGAUAAAGCGGGUGAAAAGCCCGCUCGCCGGAAGACCAAGGGUUCCUGUCCAACGUUAAUCGGGGCAGGGUGAGUCGACCCCUAAGGCGAGGCCGAAAGGCGUAGUCGAUGGGAAACGGGUUAAUAUUCCCGUACUUGGUGUUACUGCGAAGGGGGGACGGAGAAGGCUAUGUUGGCCGGGCGACGGUUGUCCCGGUUUAAGCGUGUAGGUGUGUGUUCCAGGUAAAUCCGGUUCACUUUAACACUGAGGCGUGAUGACGAGGCACUACGGUGCUGAAGCAACAAAUGCCCUGCUUCCAGGAAAAGCCUCUAAGCAUCAGGUAACAUCAAAUCGUACCCCAAACCGACACAGGUGGUCAGGUAGAGAAUACCAAGGCGCUUGAGAGAACUCGGGUGAAGGAACUAGGCAAAAUGGUGCCGUAACUUCGGGAGAAGGCACGCUGACACGUAGGUGAAGUGAUUUACUCACGGAGCUGAAGUCAGUCGAAGAUACCAGCUGGCUGCAACUGUUUAUUAAAAACACAGCACUGUGCAAACACGAAAGUGGACGUAUACGGUGUGACGCCUGCCCGGUGCCGGAAGGUUAAUUGAUGGGGUCAGCGCAAGCGAAGCUCCUGAUCGAAGCCCCGGUAAACGGCGGCCGUAACUAUAACGGUCCUAAGGUAGCGAAAUUCCUUGUCGGGUAAGUUCCGACCUGCACGAAUGGCGUAAUGAUGGCCAGGCUGUCUCCACCCGAGACUCAGUGAAAUUGAACUCGCUGUGAAGAUGCAGUGUACCCGCGGCAAGACGGAAAGACCCCGUGAACCUUUACUAUAGCUUGACACUGAACAUUGAGCCUUGAUGUGUAGGAUAGGUGGGAGGCUUUGAAGUGUGGACGCCAGUCUGCAUGGAGCCGACCUUGAAAUACCACCCUUUAAUGUUUGAUGUUCUAACGUGGACCCGUAAUCCGGGUUGCGGACAGUGUCUGGUGGGUAGUUUGACUGGGGCGGUCUCCUCCUAAAGAGUAACGGAGGAGCACGAAGGUUGGCUAAUCCUGGUCGGACAUCAGGAGGUUAGUGCAAUGGCAUAAGCCAGCUUGACUGCGAGCGUGACGGCGCGAGCAGGUGCGAAAGCAGGUCAUAGUGAUCCGGUGGUUCUGAAUGGAAGGGCCAUCGCUCAACGGAUAAAAGGUACUCCGGGGAUAACAGGCUGAUACCGCCCAAGAGUUCAUAUCGACGGCGGUGUUUGGCACCUCGAUGUCGGCUCAUCACAUCCUGGGGCUGAAGUAGGUCCCAAGGGUAUGGCUGUUCGCCAUUUAAAGUGGUACGCGAGCUGGGUUUAGAACGUCGUGAGACAGUUCGGUCCCUAUCUGCCGUGGGCGCUGGAGAACUGAGGGGGGCUGCUCCUAGUACGAG